UACGUAGGGGGCUAGCGUUGUCCGGAAUCAUUGGGCGUAAAGCGCGUGUAGGCGGCCCGGUAAGUCCGCUGUGAAAGUCGGGGGCUCAACCCUCGAAUGCCGGUGGAUACUGUCGGGCUAGAGUGCGGAAGAGGCGAGUGGAAUUCCUGGUGUAGCGGUGAAAUGCGCAGAUAUCAGGAGGAACACCAAUUGCGAAUGCAGCUCGCUGGGACGUAAUUGACGCUGAGACGCGAAAGCGUGGGGAGCAAACAGG
RNAcentral lists this ribosomal RNA (253 nucleotides) under uncultured bacterium. Its description in RNAcentral is "partial 16S ribosomal RNA". It matches the Rfam family "Bacterial small subunit ribosomal RNA", at positions 524 to 776 of the family's 1533-position model. The record is from RNAcentral.